RNAcentral lists this long non-coding RNA (3473 nucleotides) under Sus scrofa (pig). RNAcentral's name for it is "lncRNA (ENSSSCG00000056864.1)". The record is from RNAcentral. Lineage: Eukaryota; Metazoa; Chordata; Mammalia; Artiodactyla; Suidae.
AUGGUAUAACUCAUAUAGUUGUUAGAUAUUCUUUAACAGAUUUUUUUUAAAAAAUUCUAUGUUACAUAAAGACAGAAUGAAUCUGGGUAUUUGUCCUUUCAUUAUUACAGUACUAGAUCCUUCAGAAAAUUCUCUUGUAGGAGGAAUAUUGUUCUUUAUGAAAAAUCGCCCCUUUUCAUUCCUCUGAACUAAGUAGUUUGUUAAGAGAUUUUUAAUCAUGCUUAAAAACAUACUGUGGUUUUCUAUUCAAUAAAUUGUCAGUUGCAAAACUGUUUUAAACAAUAUCAAUAUUUUAAGCAAAUACAUGAACUACUGCAUUGGCUGUUCUUCUCUCAAUAAAGCACAUAUUACACAGACAUUCUUAAAAUCAUUGCAGAUGUUAAAGAGAAGAUAAAAUUCAUGACUUUAUAAAUGACAUCCUCAUCAUGUAUCUUUUUAACCGAGCUUUCAUGAAAUUUAUCUUUCACCCAAAGGCCUAAUACUGAAAAGAAAUUAGGUUAAUGCUACAAAAGAGAUGCUUUGACUAAGUGAAAUACCAAUAAAAAUGAAGCUCUCAGAGUAUUCCUCCAUACAGAACAACUUCUUCAGAACUUGUCAGUGAUGAAAGUUAAAACAUUUUAAUAAAACUUUCUUUGUCUCUUUGUCUCUCUCACUCUCUCUGCCUUUUAAUAUCCCCUCAGCCUUUAGUUCCAGGUCAUGAAGUCAGUUUUGAAGGAUUUUUUUUUUUUCUCUUUGAAUAUAUCUCCUCUUUCUGUCUUUUCCUCUUUCCGAGAUUUGUCUUCUGCCUAGUUACAAUGGAUGUUACAAUUACCACCAACAGACUAACUAUUACUUUUAGGCAAUAUAGCUAUGUAUCCCAGCUAGUUGAAAAUAUAAAUAUGUGUGCAUAGACGGGGAGCCCAUGAGGAGGGAUGAAAGUCAAGGGAGCUUCUCUCUACAGGAAGACAGUUCAUUGUCCCUCAAACCAGUGGGACCUAGCAAUGGGACUAUGUGUAGGCCUGGGCCAUGCCUGAAAUGUACAAAACCUCCUGUUUAUAGUAUGAAAGUCAUAUUACAAAAUAAUAACUAUUAAUAUAUCAUUUAACUUAAUUGUAUAUUACAGCAUAAAAUUAGAAUAAAAACACCUUAAAAGAGCCCAAAGCAAUAUUAGGAUAAUAAUUUUCUUGUAUUCCAUGUAAAGCUGUGCUAUUUAGGGAUUAGUUUCCUCUGGGGGAAAAUUUUUCUAAGGUUUUAUGUGACAAAAUGUGAAAAUAAAGUUUAAAUGUAUUUUGUGUGGUCAAAUAGAGCUAAGAAGUAGGAGAACUAAAUUCUAGUCUUGGCCAAAAUAGUGGUUUAUGAAUAUAGUAGUUUAUAUUCCGUAUUUAUUAUUUAAAUAUUUUAAACAUUAAAUAAGUCCAUCAUUUCUACAUAUUGAAAUCUGUACUUCUGUUGAUGACAACAAAAGUCAUUAGAAUAGUACUAUUUUCCAAAAAAAUGGAAUAUAUUAAUUUAAUAUUGAGUUUAUAUGUUCUGCAUGUUUAAAAAUUCACUGGUAUCAUAGGAUAUUUUUCCCAUAACAGUAUUUCUUCUAUUCAUAUUACUAUCCCUAACUUGGGCAAUAGUUCCCUCCAUGUUGAUAUCCAGAAAACUGGGUUGAGAAACUAACUCAAGACAAGUGCCAGGAAAGGGGCUGAAAAAGCAAAAUAAGAGAGAUAGAGAAUUAAAAGACAUGCCCACACAGUCUGAAAAUUCACUUCAAAUCUGUCAUUUACAACGUGAUAGCACGUGGAAAAAAUAAUCACUCAAAUCCACAAACUAUCUUGUUUAUCCUGUGCAUAUAGUUCUUCAUUAUUUUUUAAAAGUCUUACCCGGGUCUAAAUUAUUCUUUAUAUGAAAAUCUUUGUAUUUUAAGGCAUGUUUCACCAAAUAUCAAAUUGAGCUAUCAAGGGCCAUUUUAGGCUCUGCCAAAAAAACCUGUCUCUGUCAUCAAGACCUAAAACAUCCAUGAGAGGUGGGUUAUGAAACAUGCCUUAUUUAAAUGUUAGAACUGUGGUGACGUCUCUUACCUAGUCUUUGAGGGUGAACCAUUUUUGAAACCUCUUUGAUACUACACACUGCACUAAAUGCCAGAGACAUGCAUGAAACUUUGUUCAAUCUCUUCUCAAACCUGUUAAAUUAGGAGAGGAAACAGUGUAAUAGAAGCAGAUGCUUGCAAGGCUGUGUGAUAAGUUCUUUGAUAGAGGGUGCUAUGGAAACAGCUAAGUGUGCAUGUGCGGGGUACAUGGGGGCAGGGUGGGUUAAUGAAGACUUCCUGCUUCAGAUGACUUCUGAGAUAAGGGGGAGAGGGAGAAGAAAGUGAGUCACAUGAAAAAGAAGCAGCAUAUGCAAAGGCAUGAAAGUGAGAAGGAAGCAUGCAUGUGUACAUGUGUCCUAUGUAUCACGCAUAGGACAGCUAAGAGAUGAGAUCAAAAUAUAGCUGAGCUGGGCAGCUUGGAAUUUGUCUUAAAGGCUGUGGGAAACAGUAGAAUUACUUUAAAUAAGGGAGUAAGAUGAUUUUGAAGAAAUUACCAACGGUGAGAGAGGUAAGAUGAUUUGGGAGAAAUUAUGCAUGGUAAGAGAGAGGUCAAAACCCCCAUGUUUUGGCCUGGUGCUUGGAUGGAUGGUGAGGGACAAAGGAGAGAAUGCAUGGCUUUAGUUUUAGCCAAAAUGAACUAAGACUCUCUUCUCCAUGUGAGGGGUUGCAGCUGUGGCAAAGAUUCAGUCCCUGGCCUGCAAACUUCCAUAUGCUGAGAGUGCAGCCAACAAAAAAAGAGUUAACAAAGUGGCAGAAAGCUUCAAAAGGAGGAAAAAUAGUUAAAGUAAAGGUACAGGAAGUUGCUGUGUUUCUUUCCUCCAAAAGCAGGAUGUUAGGAAUAAAGAUAACAGAGGUAGAAGAGUCCUGGGUGAUUGAUGAUAGAUUCAGGUCAUACCUGGAUCAGGGCAGGAGAUGAGAUGUCAUGGAGAUGAGUAGAAGUGAAGAAAAGUGUGACAAUAUGAGCUAUUGCAUUUACGGCUUACCUUCAUGGACAUUGCCCUUACCUGGAAUGAUGGCCUGUUAGCUUCCAUUUUCACAGAGUCCAAGACAUUUCCUUCUGAGUAGUUAUAUCAUAUUCGCUUAUUUAUCCAUCAAGCAUUACUGGAUGCUUAUGCGCAAAGUGGUUCAAAAACCAUUCUAUGGAGAUGUUCAAUACACAGGAAGAUUGAUUUUAUUACUAAACAGCAAAAGCAGCAGCAGCAUGGUUGUCCUGGCUGCACAUGGAGCUCAGACAGGCUUAAAGUUCCUUAGUAGUUUAAAUAUAUCUGCAAAUAUAGUCCAGUUGACAUUCAAAAUGAAACUGAGGGAACCAAUGUGUGUUGCAAAAGCAAUGUCCAGGGAGUUCCUCGAUUGUCUAAUGGUUAAUGGUUAGGAUUUGGCGUUUUCUCCACUGUGGCCCAGGUUCAACCCUGGUCUGGGA